CCUGUUGUUAAGUAGUUUCAGCACCACAUUGCACUAUCUGGAAUUAAUUUUGAAUUUAGUGUUUUUUUCUGGAUGCUAGUCUUUCAGUAAGUACUCUCAGAUUUUGCAGGGUGGCUUGUAUUCAUCAUUAGUUGAAUUAGUACAUUCAAAAAGCAUUUGUGAAUGACUAGUUCAGAAGCCAUGCAAUGGGAACUUUUUUUGAUCCAAUUCUAUUUUAAAUAUGUAGUACUGGGAAGAGAUAAUGCACUAGAUUUUAAAAUGCUAUAUUAAAUCUGAGGAAAUGGAUUAAAUUGCAUUUUGAAAGUUGCACUGCCAAACCUGUAUAUGUUGCACUGCCAAACCCUCAGAUAUGCUGAGUAUAUAAUUAUUAUGAACUUUAGACUUUGUCUUAUUCCAGAUGAAAAUAUUCCUUAACGUAGAGCAUCAGAAAAGAAGAAAAAAAAAAGUUAGAAGCAAGAGAAUUCUAAUUUCCAGUUGUUCAGAGCACUUUUUUAUAGUAGUUGAUAAUAUUUCAUAUUUCAUCAUUACAAUAAUUUAGUUGCAUAUUCUAUGUUUCAAUUUAUUUAACUAUGAAUAGUUGCUUAUAAAGUUUCCUACCUAUACGAAUGAAGCUCCUUUUUAAAAAAGGGUUGGUUUUUUUUCACAUCUAAGAUAAUUUGAAAGUUCAAAAUGCACAUUUUUCAGCUUGCUGGUCUGCUUUUUAACAGUUUGUGACUUUAUUUAUUUAUUUAUUAAAUUUUUACCAGCCCCCAGGUGAUAGUGAGGUCAGUUUUUAUAAUGGCACUGUCGGUCGAACAGGAGUCCUCUUCCAUGCCCUUUGAAGAGAACAGAUUCUAUUUUGUCACCUUGAGCAGGUAUAGGAACAAGGCGCGAAGCUGAAUUUCUUCGGUCGUUUGGACAUUCCAAGAAAGCCAGUGGGAUUUUUUUGGCUGCUGAGGAAUGUGGGCUCAUUGCCUUCAUGUCUCAAGGUUCCAUCCGCCCGCAAAAUCAUCAGGAAUGACUCAGUUCUUCCCUGUGUGCUCCGUCCGUGGCAAUCCGGCUUGGAGAAACGCGAGCAGCCGAAGCAAAGCCGCUCUAAGCAGAAACGACUGUGACUCACAUCGCAGGCGAGAUGAGCCACCCUGUGGCAAUAUCCUGCAAUUUGCCUUUAUUGAGGGCGGAAGGACGACAAAACUAGUUGCUGAAUGUGUAAAGCAGUGGAAAGUAUUUGCUGGCUUUUUUUAAAAAAUAUAUAUAUAUUGGUACCAGAUGUGUUCUGCCUCCGUUUGCUAGUUAUUUAGUUUUCCAGAGGACUGGUGUAUAUAUAUUAUAGGUAUGGUCAAAAUCUGUGCAGCCACUGUGAUCCUGUGUGCCAAAACCAUGAGUUUUGCUAAUGCUGGCUGGCUCACUAGCUUAAUUUACCCUUGUUUAGGGACUAGGGGGUUGCAGAAUCAGGAAAGCCUAUUAAUGUAAGAGAACCUUAUGCAACCUCUGUGAACUUCCCAGCACUUUCUCUGCUGGGAGGGGGAAUGCAGGAACUGCUAAUUGUGUAACACUAGUAGUUUAGCAAUGCCACCUUCUGUUGUAAAAGAAUAAAACCGAAGAAAAUAAUCCUAUAGGUGAGAAUACUGGAAUAAUCCUAUUGAAUUAAAUGUAGCUUCUUUUGUUUUAGUUGAGUCAUAGUGUGAUAUGAUUUCAAAGUCCCACCUACCCCCAUGAUCCUGUGAAACACAGAGGGUAGACUUUCAAUCAGUUUAUGAGAUCUAGGUACUCAAAUCUAACUGCAUUUCAAUUGGAUGUAGGCACUUAAAUUCCAUUGUAGUUUAGAAUGCAUGCAUUUGAUCCUGUUAUAUUCCAAUGGGAUUUGGACCUUUCUCUCUCAGGAGACUAUGAAAUCUGACUUGGAGGACAUUUGUUUUAUGACAAAACAGCCAAUUUUCUUUCUCAGCUGUAGACUUCAGUGUUAGAAGUUAUGGAGCUUCUUCUAAAGGAAGUUCUUUAAUUCCUUCCAAAUUCUAAAACUGUACAACUUUGGAAAUGUACAGCUGGAUAUUUUGAAAGUAGACUUUAGCAUCAAAACUGGGAAUUUUGUACUUGCAGGAAUUUCAUGUGGGCAUGCAGAUCCUAAAUUGUGAUCCUUGUAAUACUUUCAGCAGUUGCCCUGUCAUUCUAAUGUCUCCACUUCAGAGGGGGUGUAUCAAUAUGUGUGGGUGUUGUAUUUUAAUACUUCCUGUGCCUGUGUGAUGUCAGCACAUGUUCAGAAGGACCUUGAUUAUUUUAAAAGCUAUAAAAAUGUGACCUUUUUCAUAUAUCCUUUGAGAGCUUCUGUCCUUGGGAGCUGUAAUACCCCAUUUCAGAUAUCCAGAAAGGACUUGGGGGAGAGGUACAAGAUAGGAUUUAGAUUCCAUUGUGGUCUGGUUCUUUGCAGGUUUGGUCUGACUCUGUGAUGCACUUCUCUGUGACUGACUAUGUUCAAGUUUCCUUUGAAAUCAUUGUAGGUCACCUUGCCUGUGCAGUGUAGGCUCCUGAAAGCCUGCAGUUCUUGUUCAAAGUUUAAAGUAGCAUGCAGAGGACUAGGCUUUCCCAAAGUCCAUUUUUUAUUAGCUGUAGAUCUUUAUGGUUUCUAUCUCAGGUUUUGAAUUUCAGACUUGAUCCCUGACCAUGACUUUGUGUGGUGGAGACUGAUUACUGCUAUGGCACCUAACUGAUUACUUAUCCCAGCCUGGUAACACUGCUAUAGUAUCUUCUCAUGCUUGUCAUUAACCAUACUCAUAAUAUCCUCUUAUACCUAAAUUGGUUCCAGUGUGGUAUGAUGCUAAUGGUCCAUUAAUGGAAUAAAGGUAGACUUAAUAGGCUUUUUGUGGAGUAACAGGUUCACAUGAGGGGUUCAGCUGUUGUAUAUUAUUCUGGGCAAUUCACUGAGUUAUGAAUGGGACUCAACAGUUUUCUGUUCAGGUAUGCCUGUUGUGCUUCUCUCUUAGAUGGGAGUCCUCAAGUAAGAAAGCAGAAGCCUCUAAGAAGUUAAAAAAUUUCUGCUGGCCAGAGGCUAAGUCUACUUUGAAUUAUAAGAAAUGUUUCUCUCAGGAGUUGCAUCUGGGUAGAGAAAGUCGUGGCUAUUAUGGCCAGAAUUUUCAGAUGAAUGAACUAUAAAUGUUAACUUUACAAUAAUUUGAAUUAUAACAUUUGCUUCUGUCCAGUAGCAGUUAUUGAAAUGCCUAGAAAACUGUGUCCUUCCUUCUUAUCCUUAUCAUUAGCGUUUUUGGUCCCUGUCCUGGCUCGGUGUAUCUUGCUUCAGCUUUAAAAUACACAAAUAAUUAUGAUCACCAACUGCUAAUAAUAAUGUGUCAUUAAUAAAUAGAAUCAUACAAUCAUCAGUCUUAGAAAAGACCUUCAAGAUGGUCCAGUCCUACCGUCCACCUAACUCUAAACUGGAUCACCCAGCACCAGAUCCAGACACUUCUUGAGCACCUCCAGGGACAGUGACUCUUCUUCCUCCCUGGGUAGCCUACUCCACUGCCUGACUACUUUAACAGCAAAAGAAUUUUUUUCAAGUAUCUAAUCUGAAUCUCUCAGUUUAAGGCUGUUCCCUCUGUUCCUUUCACUGCAGGCAUGGUAGAGGAGAUUGGCUCCCACCUCACCACAGCUUCCUUUCUGGGGGUUGUAGAGAGUGAUGAGGUGCCCCUUGAGCCUUCCUGAGACUGAACAAUCCCAGCUCCCUCAGUUGCUUCUUGUAAGACUCCUUUUCUAGACCCUUCAUGAGCCUUGCUGCCCUUUGCUAGACACACUCCAGCAACUCAAUGUCUUUUUUGAAGUGAGUGGCCCAGAACUGGACACAGCACUUGAGGUGCAGCCUCACCAAUGCUAAGUACAAGCAGACACUUCUCUGUGAAUGACAAGACGGGAAAGCUGGAAUUGUUCAGCCUGGAGAAGAGCAGGUUCAAGGAUGCCUUGCCCAUGUGCAGAAAUACCUGAUGGGAGUGUGCAGAGAAGUUGAAGCCAGGCUUUUCUCAGGUGUUCCCAGUGACAGGAAAAAGAGUCAGAGGGCACAAAUGGAAAUAGAGAAAAUUCCAUCUGAACAUAAGAAAGCACAUUUUUCUUGUGAGAGUGAUCAAACACUGGUAUAGAUUGUCCAGAGAAGUAGUUGCUUGAUGAUAUUUAAAAGCUGACUGGACAAAGCCCUGAGCUACUUGCUCUAGCUGACCCUUCUUUUAAGCAGGGGCUGGACUAAAUGAUUUUGAGAGGUUCCUUGCAUCAGCAACCCUUCUGUGAUUUUGUGAGCUUAAAGACCCUCCAUCCUGCUGUUGCUGAAGAGCAAAAAUGUACCAGCACUAUUUCUGUUUCCUUAAAAGCAUCUACUCUUCAAAGAGUAUGGGAGAAAAAAAUUGUUCUCAUUUGCUGUUGUGUGAUGAAAUGAAAUUCAGCUUGUGGCAAGUUGACAGGUAAUCUUUGAAUGUACUUUCUGAUACUUUUUUUUUUCUGAAUAAGUUACUUUUUUUCUUGUCUGUAAUCAUAGUGAAAAGAACAUUGUAAGGAAAACCCAGGGAGCAGAGAAGAAGGAAUUAUUGUUAAUUUAGUAUGUGAUGUGUUUUCUUUUCAAUCUAAAUAGAAGUAUUAUACAGGAAUUACAGAUUGAGGAGUCAUACUCAUAUACAAUGAGUUCUUUACAUGGCUAUGAAGCUUCAAGUUUAAAAAUAGUUGGUUUCCUCUUAGCUAAAAGUAGUGAUUUUAAAUGAUCUUGGUUUUACAUCAUUGAACCCUUUGCUUUCUUUCUCUGCAGGGAAGAGGUGGUUCUUUCCCAGUAAUGGCCUUUUGGGUGCAAUGGUACCCUGGGUUUUCAUGCAACGUGACAAAGCUUCUGGUCCUUUGAUACCGCUUUUCUUGAAGAUUUUAUUUUUCUUUCCUAAUGCUCUACAGCUUACUGUUUUGUAUGGUAUAGUGUAUUUUAGUAUUGAUUUGUGAGAAUCUGGAAAGUAUUUCUUUGUCUGUUGGGUAAGAAGAAGAAACUUGGCCUUCUUAAAACAUGAAUGGACACAAAUGGGACAGGCUGUUAAUUGUUUCUAGUGUUUCUCUGUGGCCUUGAACAAAUCACUUAAAUUUCACAUUAUUGUCGAUUCACAGGUUUUGUUAUAGGCUCAUUCAGCAAGCUAACAAAGUUGCAGUGAAUAUAAUCUUCUAAAUCACUAUUACUAUUACUUGUGCAACUCUGUGUUCUGAAUUUAAAGAGAUGCUUGUCUUUCCUGCACGACACAGCUCUGUUACAAUGCGUUCCUUUUGCCCAAAAUCACUAAUACAGCCCUACAAAGGACAGCGUUCAUUGACUGUAUCCUGUGCACAAAGGAUAUAAGUUUCAUUGUU
This is a long non-coding RNA of Cyanistes caeruleus (blue tit), 5334 nucleotides long. RefSeq lists it as uncharacterized. The record is from RefSeq and is a predicted model, not a curated record. NCBI's taxonomy places the organism in Eukaryota, Metazoa, Chordata, Aves, Passeriformes, Paridae.